This 395-nucleotide ribosomal RNA is filed under the name Laniarius ferrugineus. RNAcentral's name for it is "partial 12S ribosomal RNA". It matches the Rfam family "Bacterial small subunit ribosomal RNA", at positions 794 to 1384 of the family's 1533-position model. The record is from RNAcentral. Lineage: Eukaryota; Metazoa; Chordata; Aves; Passeriformes; Malaconotidae.
GCCUGGCCCUAAAUCUUGAUGUUCUAUCCAACCUGAACAUCCGCCCGAGAACUACGAGCACAAACGCUUAAAACUCUAAGGACUUGGCGGUGCCCCAAACCCACCUAGAGGAGCCUGUUCUGUAAUCGAUAAUCCACGAUUUACCUAACCAUUCCUUGCCAAAUCAGCCUACAUACCGCCGUCGCCAGCCCACCCCCCCUGAAGGUGAAACAGUGAGCGCAAUAGUCCCAUCCCACUAGCAAGACAGGUCAAGGUAUAGCCUAUGGAAUGGAAGCAAUGGGCUACAUUUUCUAAGUUAGAACAUUACGGAAAGGGGUAUGAAAUUGCCCCUCGAAGGCGGAUUUAGCAGUAAAGUGGGACAAUCGAGCCCUCUUUAAGCCGGCUCUGAGGCACGU